This 21-nucleotide non-coding RNA is filed under the name Arabidopsis thaliana (thale cress). The record is from RNAcentral. Lineage: Eukaryota; Viridiplantae; Streptophyta; Magnoliopsida; Brassicales; Brassicaceae.
UGUACAUUUUCGGGCAUUUUC